GUACUUUAAUUAGGUACAAUCUCGACUACGUUGAAUAAAGUUCUAGAUAGAUCAAUGAUUAUGACAAUUUUCUAUCUAUAUGUCUUGACCAAUUCACGUGCCAGCAGUCGCGGUAAUACGUGGAAGACUUGUGUUAUUCAUCUUUAUUAGGUAUAAAGGGUACCUAGACGGUAUAUUUAGCCCAGAAAGGGUACAUUUAUUCUAGAGUUUUAUGGAAGAAGGGGAGAACUACAGAAGUAGAGAUAAAAUUCUGUGAUAUCUAUAGGACUGAUAUAGGCGAAGGCAACCUUCUAUGUAAAAACUGACGUUGAGGGACGAAGGCUUGGGUAACGAUUAGGAUUAGAUACCCUAGUAGUCCAGGCAGAGAAUUAUGAAUGUCAUAAACUAGAGAGUUUUUGGUUUAUAAAUGAAAAUGUAAGCAUUCCACCUCAAGAGUAAUGUGGCAACACAGGAACUGAAAUCAUUAGACCGUUUCUGAAACCAGUAGUGAAGUAUGUUGUUUAAUUCGAUGAUCCGCGAAAAACCUUACCACAAUUUGAAUAUUAUACAAGCGCUGCACGGCUGUCUUCAGUUAAUGUCGUGAGAUUUUGGUUAGUUCCAUUAAUUAACGUAAACCCUUGCUUUAUUUAUCUUUAUAAAGUAGUUCACCUGCAUCUUAGGUAAAAUAACAGGGAAUAAGACAAGUCAUCAUGGCCUUAAUAUUGUGGGCUAUAGACGUGCCACAUAAGCCUUAACAAAGGGAUGCAAUGUCGUGAGAUAGAGCUAAUCCUU
RNAcentral lists this ribosomal RNA (771 nucleotides) under Chaenothecopsis sp. RNAcentral's name for it is "SSU rRNA". It matches the Rfam family "Bacterial small subunit ribosomal RNA", at positions 410 to 1276 of the family's 1533-position model. Lineage: Eukaryota; Fungi; Ascomycota; Eurotiomycetes; Mycocaliciales; Mycocaliciaceae. The record is from RNAcentral.